RNAcentral lists this ribosomal RNA (510 nucleotides) under uncultured Glomus. RNAcentral describes it as "SSU rRNA". It matches the Rfam family "Eukaryotic small subunit ribosomal RNA", at positions 569 to 1081 of the family's 1831-position model. Lineage: Eukaryota; Fungi; Glomeromycota; Glomeromycetes; Glomerales; Glomeraceae. The record is from RNAcentral.
AGCAGCCGCGGUAAUUCCAGCUCCAAUAGCGUAUAUUAAAGUUGCUGCAGUUAAAAAGCUCGUAGUUGAAUUUCGGGAUCAAUAUGUUGGUCGUGCCUUGGUACGUACUAGCUUAUUGGUUUCUCCCUUCUGACGAACCAUGAUGUCAUUAAUUUGGUGUCAUGUGGAAUCAGGACUGUUACUUUGAAAAAAUUAGAGUGUUUAAAGCAGGCUCACGCUUGAAUACAUUAGCAUGGAAUAAUGAAAUAGGACGUUUGAUUCUAUUUUGUUGGUUUCUAGGAUCGACGUAAUGAUUAAUGGGGAUAGUUGGGGGCAUUAGUAUUCAAUUGUCAGAGGUGAAAUUCUUGGAUUUAUUGAAGACUAACUACUGCGAAAGCAAUUUGCCAAGGAUGUUUUCAUUAAUCAAGAACGAAAGUUAGGGGAUCGAAGACGAUCAGAUACCGUCGUAGUCUUAACCAUAAACUAUAGCCGACUAGGGAUCGGAUGAUGUUAAUUUUUAAUGACUCAUUC